CGCAAAGAGGAGCCUGCUGGUCUGCUGGCGGGCAGGCGGCGCUGGGCCGGAGCCUCUCCCUCCGGUGCGCACAGCGCACCCUCUCCUCCCCCGGCCGCCCGUCGCAGCGCGGAGAGGGCGUGUCGGCACCCUGCCUGGCGAGCGCCCACCCCUACAAUGGCUGCGAGCGCGCGGGACGGAGGGUGCACCGCCGCUCCCCGGGGACUUGCACGGGUGGCGCGCCUAGCCCAGAGCCCGCUUGUAGUGAGCGCUCAGUAGGGCGGGAAAGCUGCUGCCGCUACUGCGGCCUUCUGAGAAGACGCCCAUUCUCUGAUGUCAGGACUGCAUCGCCGAGUCCUGAUUGCAAAUAGCGAAAUAUAUAAUUAAGGAGAGUUCGGGGGCGUAUCCUGCAAUGGGAUGCCGAGUUCGAUAAAGUUGCAGGAUGCUGGGAAAGUGGAUUGAUUUGCUGUUGCUAAAUGAAUGGAAACAGCGUUAGAGCUUCUGUCCACGAUCCAUCAGUCUAUCGAGAUUGCUGAUUGCCUAUGACUUGGACGGUUGAUGGUUUUCAGGCCCACUGAGAGCAGCCAGCGUUGGUAUAACCGCAGGGAGCCCUCCUGGGAGGUUGAACCUGCAGAGCGCAAAUGUGCCCAGGUUGAUUUGGGGCCUAGUGGUCCAUUUUCACAGCUCCACUGCCUAUCUGCAUAACCAGGAGCCCUCAUUCAGAUGAACGCCAAAUGGGCCAGAGGGAGGAGAAUCAAAUGAGCAACUUUUAAAAGAUAUUAAGACAUAGGCACCUAACUCCGGACAGUUCCUUUAACCCUUGAGCUAACCAUUUGAAGCACAAAACAUAACAAAAGAAAAGACUGGGGGGAGUGGGGCCAAAAGAAACCAAGUGCAAAAUUCUGUACACUUGUGUCAGAUUCACUCCGUAAUGGGAAAAGGUCUGGCUUUGAAAACUUUAUGGAUCAAAGGGAUGCAUGGAGUUACACAGCACAGCUGCAGAAGAUAAUGUUCCCCUGGAUCACUCUGCCCAACUCUUAACUGCAACCCACCUUCCCCAUCCGUCUCCCCGAAAUCACCCGGAAGGGUGUUACCUUCAGGAAGUAACUGAUCUCUUGAUCACCCCUGCUGGAUCCUGUCCCCAAGGGCGUUCGAAUGCAUCCGACUCAUCUUCACCUUGCCAAUAACGGGUGCUUGACACAUCGUUUGCUGCCAAUCAUUAUUGUGAUUUUAAUACUAUUGGUAUUCUAACUAUCAAGAUGACUGCUUGUAGAGCCAGAUUGCCUGGAUUCAAACUCCAGUUCACAACCUACUAACUGUAUGCCUUUAGGUAAACUCAGAUGCCUCUGAUGGAUUCGAAAUAACCAGAUAUAUUUCUGAAUUGCUUCAUAUGAAACAGUUGGGAAAAGAGAUUAAGGAAGGGAUGGUGCUGUUGGCUCCAGGCAGUGACUCAAGGAGGCAUUCAUGGUGAAAGAAGAAAGGCCUUUCUCAGGUGAUGCUUCAUCUUCCCCCACGUGCUCUGAUACCCUGUCCCUGCCUUGAUGUGUCUAUAAAUACAAACAGCAGGAGACCCGCAUCAGUAGACAAAGCAGGUGGCUGCAACCUAUUCUUCUUCCCAAUGGCCACUG
RNAcentral lists this long non-coding RNA (1607 nucleotides) under Homo sapiens (human). Its description in RNAcentral is "HSALNT0349567". Lineage: Eukaryota; Metazoa; Chordata; Mammalia; Primates; Hominidae. The record is from RNAcentral.